This 483-nucleotide ribosomal RNA is filed under the name uncultured bacterium. RNAcentral describes it as "partial 16S ribosomal RNA". It matches the Rfam family "Bacterial small subunit ribosomal RNA", at positions 28 to 507 of the family's 1533-position model. The record is from RNAcentral.
GACGAACGCUGGCGGCGUGCUUAACACAUGCAAGUCGAACGCUGAAGCUCAGCUUUUGUUGGGUGGAUGAGUGGCGAACGGGUGAGUAACACGUGAGUAACCUGCCCCCUUCUUUGGGGUAACGCCCGGAAACGGGUGCUAAUACUGGAUAUUCACUGGUCUUCGCAUGGGGGUUGGUGGAAAGGGUUUUUCUGGUGGGGGAUGGGCUCGCGGCCUAUCAGCUUGUUGGUGGGGUGAUGGCCUACCAAGGCUUUGACGGGUAGCCGGCCUGAGAGGGUGACCGGUCACAUUGGGACUGAGAUACGGCCCAGACUCCUACGGGAGGCAGCAGUGGGGAAUAUUGCACAAUGGGCGCAAGCCUGAUGCAGCGACGCCGCGUGAGGGAUGGAGGCCUUCGGGUUGUGAACCUCUUUCGCUCAUGGUCAAGCCGCAAGAAUGGUUGUGGUGAGGGUAGUGGGUAAAGAAGCGCCGGCUAACUACGUG